AUCUCUGUGUGUCUAAUAUGAUCACACAUGGUGUAUAUUUAUAUGCAAAUAGGGAAUAUACAAUAGGAAAUAAUAUCAAUUACAGUUAUGACUAAUUGAAUAUCAAUCAAUACUAAUUGAUUGAUAAUAUAUUCUUAACACUCCCCCUCAAGCCGGAUCGUAUAUAUUGUAUGAUCCGAGCUUGUUACAAAUAUAAUUCACUCGAGAACCCUUGAGAGACUUG
RNAcentral lists this long non-coding RNA (223 nucleotides) under Lathyrus oleraceus (garden pea). RNAcentral describes it as "Pisum sativum (pea) long non-coding RNA (PSAT_LNC031636)". The record is from RNAcentral. Lineage: Eukaryota; Viridiplantae; Streptophyta; Magnoliopsida; Fabales; Fabaceae.